CUUACACAUGCAGUCGAGGGGCAGCAUGGUCUUAGCUUGCUAAGGCCGAUGGCGACCGGCGCACGGGAGAGUAACACGUAUCCAACCUGCCGUCUACUCUUGGACAGCCUUCUGAAAGGAAGAUUAAUACAAGAUGGCAUCAUGAGUCCGCAUGUUCACAUGAUUAAAGGUAUUCCGGUAGACGAUGGGGAUGCGUUCCAUUAGGUAGUAGGCGGGGUAACGGCCCACCUAGUCUUCGAUGGAUAGGGGUUCUGAGAGGAAGGUCCCCCACAUUGGAACUGAGACACGGUCCAAACUCCUACGGGAGGCAGCAGUGAGGAAUAUUGGUCAAUGGGCGAGAGCCUGAACCAGCCAAGUAGCGUGAAGGAUGACUGCCCUAUGGGUUGUAAACUUCUUUUAUAAAGGAAUAAAGUCGGGUAUGCAUACCCGUUUGCAUGUACCUUAUGAAUAAGGAUCGGCUAACUCCGUGCCAGCAGCCGCGGUAAUACGGAGGAUCCGAGCGUUAUCCGGAUUUAUUGGGUUUAAAGGGAGCGUAGAUGGAUGUUUAAGUCAGUUGUGAAAGUUUGCGGCUCAACCGUAAAAUUGCAGUUGAUACUGGAUAUCUUGAGUGCAGUUGAGGCAGGCGGAAUUCGUGGUGUAGCGGUGAAAUGCUUAGAUAUCACGAAGAACUCCGAUUGCGAAGGCAGCCUGCUAAGCUGCAACUGACAUUGAGGCUCGAAAGUGUGGGUAUCAAACAGGAUUAGAUACCCUGGUAGUCCACACGGUAAACGAUGAAUACUCGCUGUUUGCGAUAUACAGCAAGCGGCCAAGCGAAAGCGUUAAGUAUUCCACCUGGGGAGUACGCCGGCAACGGUGAAACUCAAAGGAAUUGACGGGGGCCCGCACAAGCGGAGGAACAUGUGGUUUAAUUCGAUGAUACGCGAGGAACCUUACCCGGGCUUAAAUUGCAGAUGAAUUACGGUGAAAGCCGUAAGCCGCAAGGCAUCUGUGAAGGUGCUGCAUGGUUGUCGUCAGCUCGUGCCGUGAGGUGUCGGCUUAAGUGCCAUAACGAGCGCAACCCUUGUUGUCAGUUACUAACAGGUUCCGCUGAGGACUCUGACAAGACUGCCAUCGUAAGAUGUGAGGAAGGUGGGGAUGACGUCAAAUCAGCACGGCCCUUACGUCCGGGGCUACACACGUGUUACAAUGGGGGGUACAGAGGGCCGCUACCACGCGAGUGGAUGCCAAUCCCCAAAACCUCUCUCAGUUCGGACUGGAGUCUGCAACCCGACUCCACGAAGCUGGAUUCGCUAGUAAUCGCGCAUCAGCCACGGCGCGGUGAAUACGUUCCCGGGCCUUGUACACACCGCCCGUCAAGCCAUGGGAGCCGGGGGUACCUGAAGUGCGUAACCGCGAGGAGCGCCCU
This 1405-nucleotide ribosomal RNA is filed under the name uncultured bacterium. RNAcentral's name for it is "bacterial SSU rRNA". It matches the Rfam family "Bacterial small subunit ribosomal RNA". The record is from RNAcentral.